Long non-coding RNA from Cyprinus carpio (common carp), 802 nucleotides. The record is from Ensembl. NCBI's taxonomy places the organism in Eukaryota, Metazoa, Chordata, Actinopteri, Cypriniformes, Cyprinidae.
AGACGCACCUGUUAGCGUUUAGUAGUCAAGACGAUACGCAGGUAUUAUUUUUCUGAACCUGUUGCGAUACGACAGAGAAAACGCGCUAUUUAGGCUUCGAAAGUCAAGGUAAGAUUGUUUAUUUUGAGUCAGUUUUCUUAAUUAGAAUUAGUUCAUUAGAAAGAGUAUCAAUCUCUCUAACGAUCUGUUAUUUGUCAGGUGUCAUGGGGUCAUGGAUGCUGGUUCUGUGUACCACAGUCACUCUGAUGCCUGUGUGUCUUCAUGGAGCAAUAUCAGUCCGCUUUAAGACCGGACGGCCUCUCUAUGUGGCACUCGGCCGAACUCUUGUUUUGGAAGUCGAAUUCAAGAAGGACUCGGACGACAAAAUAGACAUGGUGACGUGGGACCGCGAGAGAGGAAAUGUCACUGUCAGACUGUCACAUGGAAACAGAAUAUCUUUGGAGAACGGAGAUGCACUUCUGCGGGUCACUGAUGUUGCAGAAGGGGACCUUGCGACCUACAAAGUCACCGUUACAGACAGUAACGGAUACCAGCAGCAAGACUCCAUAGAAGUACAAAAGAUAGAAUCUCAGCCCUGUUGUGCGGGACUGAUUGCAGUCGGAGUUGUAACAGCAAUAGCACUUGUGGCCGGACCAAUUUUCCUGAAGAUGCACAGAAAACACCAUUAAAAUAAGUUAUCCCUACUAAGUUCACAUAGAAGAUUUUAUUAUUUAUUUACAUGUUAAUAUACCUGUAAACAGUUUAUUUUGAUCAUAUUGUUUAUUCUAAACUGUUGAUUUAAUAAAGUUCAUGUUUUAUGUCA